Molecule: ribosomal RNA, 466 nt
Filed under: uncultured bacterium
Lineage: Bacteria
Description: bacterial SSU rRNA
Rfam family: Bacterial small subunit ribosomal RNA
Source: RNAcentral
UCCAGACUCCUACGGGAGGCAGCAGUGAGGAAUAUUGGUCAAUGGGCGGAAGCCUGAACCAGCCAAGUCGCGUGAGGGAAGAAGGCCCUGCGGGUCGCAGACCUCUUUGGACGGGGAGCAAGGCCGCCGACGUGUCGGCGGAAGGAGAGUACCCGUAGAACAAGCAUCGGCUAACUCCGUGCCAGCAGCCGCGGUAAUACGUAGGGGGCAAGCGUUAUCCGGAUUUACUGGGUGUAAAGGGAGCGUAGACGGUUAUGCAAGUCUGGAGUGAAAGGCGGGGGCUCAACCCCCGGACUGCUCUGGAAACUGUAGAACUAGAGUGCAGGAGGGGUAAGUGGAAUUCCUAGUGUAGCGGUGAAAUGCGUAGAUAUUAGGAGGAACACCAGUGGCGAAGGCGGCUUACUGGACUGUAACUGACGUUGAGGCUCGAAAGCGUGGGGAGCAAACAGGAUUAGAUACCCCUGUA